AAGGCAGGAGGGGGCGUGCCCCUCACCGGAAAUUAGCAGAGGGGCGUGUCCCACACCGGAAGUCAGAAAGCGGAGCCUUUCUUACACCGGAAGUCAAUGAAGCGGGUCUUUCCUACGCUAAAAACCACUGAGUGGAGUAUUUAGUACACAGGAAGUCGGCCAGAGAAACAUUUCUCAUAUUUGAAGGCCGGAAAGAGGGACAUUUCUGACACCGGAAGUCAGUGAGAGGACUCUUUCCCACACAGGAAGUCAGCUAGAGAGCCGUCUCCCCUCUCUGGAGCCGAGAGAGGCCGGUUUCCCCCACCGUAGCCCACCUGGGAGGAAUUUUCCAGAGAUCACUGUCUGAUGACCCUGUCUUGGAAUUGGAGCCAUGCAAGUUACACUGACCACGUUUGGGUUGGGAUAUUGAGGAGGUUAUGGUUAAAAGCAUACGAUGGGAGAUCAUAUUGUACUUGCGAGUGAGACCCGGCUGGAGGAAUGUUUUAAUUCUUCGGAAAUACCAAGUGGUCUCUACAGAACACUGAAGAUUCUGCUCUCAGGGUGUUGAUUGACGUCUGGAAGGCAGAGACUCGUGGAUUAGCAAGCAUGUGUAAGAAAGUGCUCUGGAUGCCACAGGGUGGUAAUUUGUGCAUGGAAAAUGGCUGGGGUGAAGAGGAGACUAGGGU
This 665-nucleotide long non-coding RNA is filed under the name Homo sapiens (human). RNAcentral describes it as "non-protein coding lnc-CRYBA4-52:53". Lineage: Eukaryota; Metazoa; Chordata; Mammalia; Primates; Hominidae. The record is from RNAcentral.